This 460-nucleotide ribosomal RNA is filed under the name uncultured bacterium. RNAcentral describes it as "bacterial SSU rRNA". It matches the Rfam family "Bacterial small subunit ribosomal RNA", at positions 30 to 510 of the family's 1533-position model. The record is from RNAcentral.
AUUGAACGCUGGCGGCAGGCCUAAUACAUGCAAGUCGAACGGUAACAUAAAAGAAGCUUGCUUCUUUUGAUGACGAGUGGCGGACGGGUGAGUAAUAUUUGGGAAACUACCUGAUAGAGGGGGACAACAGUUGGAAACGACUGCUAAUACCGCAUAUAGCCUAAGGGUGAAAGCAGCAAUGCGCUAUCAGAUGUGCCCAAACGGGAUUAGCUAGUAGGUGAGGUAAAGGCUCACCUAGGCGACGAUCUCUAGCUGGUCUGAGAGGAUGAUCAGCCACAUUGGGACUGAGACACGGCCCAGACUCCUACGGGAGGCAGCAGUAGGGAAUAUUGCACAAUGGAGGAAACUCUGAUGCAGCCAUGCCGCGUGUGUGAAGAAGGCCUUCGGUUGUAAAGCACUUUCGGAGGGAGGGAAAAGGAAUGACGUACCUCAGAAGGAGCACCGGCUAACUACCGUGCCA